AUAAUUAAUCAAAGCCUACUAUAGCUUCUCACAUGGUUGCCCACAGAAGCUAAGCAGGGCUGUGCCUGGUCAGUACCUGGAUUGGAGACCACAUGGGAAUGCUAGGUUGUUGCUGGAA
Molecule: ribosomal RNA, 118 nt
Filed under: Danio rerio (zebrafish)
Lineage: Eukaryota; Metazoa; Chordata; Actinopteri; Cypriniformes; Danionidae
Source: RNAcentral